This 253-nucleotide ribosomal RNA is filed under the name uncultured bacterium. RNAcentral describes it as "partial 16S ribosomal RNA". It matches the Rfam family "Bacterial small subunit ribosomal RNA", at positions 524 to 776 of the family's 1533-position model. The record is from RNAcentral.
UACGAAGGGGGCUAGCGUUGCUCGGAAUCACUGGGCGUAAAGCGCACGUAGGCGGCUUUUUAAGUCAGGGGUGAAAUCCUGGAGCUCAACUGGAGAACUGCCUCGGAUACUGGGUGUCUCGAGUGUGGUAGGGGUAUGCGGAACUAUCGGUGGAGCGGUGAAAUGCGUUGAUAUCGAUAGGAACUCCGGUGGCGAAGGCGGCAUACUGGACCACUACUGACGCUGAUGCGCGAAAGCCAGGGGAGCAAACGGG